This 440-nucleotide ribosomal RNA is filed under the name uncultured bacterium. Its description in RNAcentral is "partial 16S ribosomal RNA". It matches the Rfam family "Bacterial small subunit ribosomal RNA", at positions 338 to 795 of the family's 1533-position model. The record is from RNAcentral.
CCUACGGGUGGCAGCAGUGGGGAAUAUUGCACAAUGGGGGAAACCCUGAUGCAGCGACGCCGCGUGAGUGAAGAAGUAUUUCGGUAUGGAAAGCUCUAUCAGUAGGGAAGAAAAUGACGGUACGUGAUUAAGAAGCCCCGGCUAACUACCAGCCAGCAGACGCGGGAAUACGUAGGGAGCAGGCGUUAUCCGGAUUUACUGGGUGUAAUGGGAGCGUAGACGGCAGCACAAGUCUGGCGGGAAAUGCCGGGGCUUAAACCCCGAACUGCUUUGGAAAAUGUGCAGCUAGAGUGCGGGAUAGGUAAGUGGAAUGCGUGGUGUAGCGGUGAAAUGCGUAGAUAUUAGGUGGAACACCAGUGGCGAAGGCGGCUUACUGGACUGUAACUGACGUUGAGGCUCGAAAGCGUGGGGAGCGAACAGGAUUAGAUACCCGUGUAGUC